Molecule: ribosomal RNA, 976 nt
Filed under: Micrococcus terreus
Lineage: Bacteria; Bacillati; Actinomycetota; Actinomycetes; Micrococcales; Micrococcaceae
Description: bacterial SSU rRNA
Rfam family: Bacterial small subunit ribosomal RNA
Source: RNAcentral
UACACACGCGGGGUGGAUUAGUGGCGAACGGGUGAGUAACACGUGAGUAACCAUGCCCUUGACUCUGGGAUAAGCCUGGGAAACUGGGUCUAAUACUGGAUAUGACUUCUCACCGCAUGGUGGGGGGUGGAAAGAUUUAUUGGUCUUGGAUGGACUCGCGGCCUAUCAGCUUGUUGGUGAGGUAAUGGCUCACCAAGGCGACGACGGGUAGCCGGCCUGAGAGGGUGACCGGCCACACUGGGACUGAGACACGGCCCAGACUCCUACGGGAGGCAGCAGUGGGGAAUAUUGCACAAUGGGCGCAAGCCUGAUGCAGCGACGCCGCGUGAGGGAUGACGGCCUUCGGGUUGUAAACCUCUUUCAGUAGGGAAGAAGCGAAAGUGACGGUACCUGCAGAAGAAGCGCCGGCUAACUACGUGCCAGCAGCCGCGGUAAUACGUAGGGCGCGAGCGUUAUCCGGAAUUAUUGGGCGUAAAGAGCUCGUAGGCGGUUUGUCGCGUCUGCCGUGAAAGUCCGGGGCUUAACCCCGGAUCUGCGGUGGGUACGGGCAGACUAGAGUGCAGUAGGGGAGACUGGAAUUCCUGGUGUAGCGGUGAAAUGCGCAGAUAUCAGGAGGAACACCGAUGGCGAAGGCAGGUCUCUGGGCUGUAACUGACGCUGAGGAGCGAAAGCAUGGGGAGCGAACAGGAUUAGAUACCCUGGUAGUCCAUGCCGUAAACGUUGGGCACUAGGUGUGGGGGACAUUCCACGUUUUCCGCGCCGUAGCUAACGCAUUAAGUGCCCCGCCUGGGGAGUACGGCCGCAAGGCUAAAACUCAAAGGAAUUGACGGGGGCCCGCACAAGCGGCGGAGCAUGCGGAUUAAUUCGAUGCAACGCGAAGAACCUUACCAAGGCUUGACAUGUUCCUGACCGCCGUAGAGAUACGGUUUCCCCUUUGGGGCAGGUUCACAGGUGGUGCAUGAUUGUCGUCUAUGUU